RNAcentral lists this ribosomal RNA (367 nucleotides) under uncultured Anaerolineaceae bacterium. RNAcentral describes it as "bacterial SSU rRNA". It matches the Rfam family "Bacterial small subunit ribosomal RNA", at positions 1001 to 1382 of the family's 1533-position model. The record is from RNAcentral. Lineage: Bacteria; Bacillati; Chloroflexota; Anaerolineae; Anaerolineales; Anaerolineaceae.
AGGGAACUGAAAGGACGACCUUCGGGAGCCUAUACAGGUGUUGCAUGGCUGUCGUCAGCUCGUGUCGUGAGAUGUUCGGUUAAGUCCGCUAACGAGCGCAACCCUCGUCGUAUGUUAUAUGUGUCAUACGAGACUGCCGGUAAAAAGCCGGAGGAAGGUGAGGAUGAUGUCAAGUCAGCAUGACCUUUAUAUCCAGGGCUACACACACGCUACAAUGGUCUGUACAAUGGGUAGCCAAGCCGCGAGGCGGAGCCAAUCCUGAAAGCAGGCCUCAGUUCAGAUUGCAGUCUGCAACUCGACUGCAUGAAGCCGGAGUUGCUAGUAACCGCAGGUCAGCAAUACUGCGGUGAAUACGUUCCCGGGUCUU